Long non-coding RNA from Cairina moschata (Muscovy duck), 2053 nucleotides. Lineage: Eukaryota; Metazoa; Chordata; Aves; Anseriformes; Anatidae. The record is from Ensembl.
GUGCGGUUUUGCCUCGACCCCAUCCCUGGGGAGAAGAGGCUCCUUCCUGCCGCCCCGAGCCCGGCUCAUGUUCAAAGCCCGGAGCAGACAGCGGCUAAUGAGGCCAGACAAUAGGGAGCUGCGUGGGGCAGCAGCGCUGGCACGGGCCGCCGCCGCCCCGAAGCCAGGCGCGGGACGGCCCCGCCACCGUGGGGCAGCGGGGACAGGACGGGACGGGGCAGCACCCGCUCCACGCCACCCUCACCGUGGGCAGGGCACGUGCCCACCCAGCCCACCCAGCCCACCCAGCAUUUUGGGGGGCAGGGGAGCGGUGGCGGUGCUGUCGGGGUGCCCCAUCCCCGCCGUGCCAAAGGGGCACCCCAAUGCCGUGGGGUCACGGGGCCGGGCACAAGCUCCAGGCGGAGGGGCUGGGGUGGCACGGGGGGCACGGGUGGCACGGGGUGGGUCGGGGGGCACGGGGCUGCCCGCUGCCGGCCGGCCCCGUCCCCAUGCAGCUCCAGCUGCCCGCAGCCGGUGGCCCCGUUGGGGCUGCGCCGGCGCCAGGCCCGGCCCCGGAGCGCCUCAGAGCCGCCUUUGUGCAGCGCUCCCGGCACAUGUGGGGCACUGGGAGCCAGCUGGGGGCACCGGGACCGUUUUCCAGAGCUGCCCCCAUCCCACAAGCUCAGACGCCCCCGGGGCAGCCACCAUCCCUCGGGCUGGGGCACUCCUGGCAUUCCUAAGGGCACGCAGGGCCGGGGAUGAGCGAUGCCCGGGCGCAACGGGAGGAGCUGCCUCAGUUUCCCCCAUGCCAAGGCCGCAGCUUCCCCGGCUUUCCUUCCUUCCCGGGAAAGGGGAGGGAGCUUCCCCCGCCGCUUCCCCACAUCCCCGCGGCCGAGCCAGGAGACUGUGACGAGCUCUGGGUGCGCGGAGCCAGCGCCGGAUUCCUGGCACCGGCGGGGCGGCCGGGAGCCAUCGCCCGCCUCCGCCCCGCUCGGCCCCGCUCGCUCCCCGCCGUCCCCCUGGGCCGCCGCCGCGGGCACCGGGCGGUGACGCUGGCACGGCCGCGCAGCCCCCAGCCCUCCCCUGCCGCCGGAUCCCGGGCCAGCGGGGACGCCGGGAGAGAGGAGCGGGGACAGGCCUUUCCAUGGUGUCUGCUACCUGCCCGCCGCCGCCCUCGCCAGCCCGGGCACAUGGGGGCGAAGAGCAGGAUCGGUGCCGGGUGCCGCUCUGCCAGCCUCCACCCCACGUCCCCACUGCCCUCCCUGCGCCAAGGACCCCAAAGAUCCGGGCUCCUGUCCCCCCCCAGCCUCUGCCACCGAUGGGCAGGGGGCUGGGGUCCCGCUCCGGGACUUUCCUCUGCCCAGCAGCAGCCGGAGGGAUUUGGGGAUGCCGAGGGCACAAGUUGUGGGGUGCGUGUUGCUGGGGCUCUGCAGGGUGUGGGGGGGGGGGUUGGGGGACAAAACAGAGCGGGUGGGGGGGCUGUGUGCCCUGGGGGUGGGCUUCAGGGGGUGCGUGAAGAUGGAUGGUGCCCUGCAGUGCCCCCAUGUCCCCGGGGAACCCAAGCGGCCUGGGAGGGGACAGAGUGGAUUUGGGAGUCCCCGGGAUGCCCCUUGCCCACAGAUGCCCCAUGCCAGGGGAGAAUAUUGGGGGGGGGAGCAUUGUAAUGGGGGUGCCCUGCAAAUGCCAAGGGGGCUGUGGGUGGGUUCCCAGGGGCCUGGGGGGGGGUGGGGGCACGUGGAUGGGGGCGCACCCAGCAUGCCCAGUGCCUAGGGAUACCCCAAAUCCCGGGGGGGGGGUUGUCCUACACUGUCCUGGGUGGUGUUGGGUGGAUCGGGGGGGUCCCCAGCAUGCCACGGGGGUGACGGCAUCCCCCAGGUACCCCAUACCCGGGGAAGGGGUCAAUGGAUGGGGGGGUUCCCAGGGAUGCCCCAUGCCCAGGGGCACCCCGUGCCUCAGGGGGUGGGUGGCAAACAGAGGGGGGGGCUCCCCAAAACACCCAUGCCGGGCGUCACCCCAAUCCCCCUGGGACCACCUACAGCCACCGGGGUGUCCCAGAACGACCCAGGGCCGGGGG